UACGGCGCAUUGCUGAUUGCGCCCAAGGAUCCAUUGACCGAAGUGAAAGCCGAUCUGGAUUACACGAUCCAGUUGCAGGAAUGGCUGAAACGCGAAUGGCUGACCUAUCCCGCCAUGUCGAUGGAAGGAGCGAUGCCNCUUCACCAUUAACGGCAAGGCCUAUCCUUCGACCGACACGAUUGCAAUGAAGGUCGGGCAAACCAUCAAGCUGCGGUUCAUCGGCACCAACAAUAACUUCAUUCAUCCCAUGCAUGUCCACGGCGGCCC
Molecule: unclassified non-coding RNA, 267 nt
Filed under: Hevea brasiliensis (rubber tree)
Lineage: Eukaryota; Viridiplantae; Streptophyta; Magnoliopsida; Malpighiales; Euphorbiaceae
Source: RNAcentral